Podarcis lilfordi (Lilford's wall lizard) is the source of this 6996-nucleotide non-coding RNA. The record is from the annotation of a GenBank genome assembly. Lineage: Eukaryota; Metazoa; Chordata; Lepidosauria; Squamata; Lacertidae.
GCAAGUUUCAGAGCAAUGGCUGGAGCAACAUUCCUAUUUCCAAAUUGCAUAGUGAAUCUUUUGCCUAGUUAUCAAAUCCUGCUUGAUGGGGAGCUCUCCAUGGUCCUGAUCCCCAGGUAUUUGACCUUGCCAUAUUUCCCCUGGAAUAGUCUCAUGGGUUUCAGCUGGUGUUGUCCCCAAAACCACACAUCCCUUUUGUGGAACCAAAAGAGCAGGGUUAUUUCUGCUGCUCCCAUGGCCUACCGUUUCCUGGAAUCCCUGAACCCAAGGGAUGGAGUUGCAGAUAUUUGAUUGUUUGUGUCAAGCUUGGGUUGCUUUGCUGAAAGAGACCAGGGAGGAAAGGGGACCACGGAGAAAUCUUCACACUUCAUGGCCUGCAAGAACCUUCCAAGCUGCUUACAGUAAUACAAUGUAGUUGGCAAAAGACAUUCACACACACACAAAAAAAGAGCUGUAUACAUAGCAAAAUAUAAUGGGGUGGGGUUAGAAUACACUGUGCCAAAGACAAGGAGGAAAUCGUUUUAUCCAAUUCUGAAAGCAGAACUAUAUCAUCCAUUCCAACUAUCUGUACCCACCUUCCAACUGUACCCACCUUCCCUUGUUUCUUCCAGAUAUUGUUGAAUGGCAAGUCCCAUCAUCACUGACCUUUGGACAUGCUAGUUGGGGCUGAUGGGAGUUGGAGGAAGCCUGUGCUAUACAUUUUACCUCAGAAAGCCCUUAAGAUCUAGACAUUAUAUGUGUGCUAUGUGUAAUUUUUGUUAUUAUUUCCCCUUCCCUUGUCAAGGAAAGCAAAGUUUGAGUUUGCACCUUCCUAUGACAUUAUGUUUCAGAAAUAUUUUCUAAGCAGGACUUAAGUUGCAGGUGUACUUUAUUACAAAUGAGUGUUAAACUCUAACUUUUGAGUUCCCAAUUAAGUUUUUAAUCUCCCAGCAGAAGUUUCUGUGUGUGUAGUUUUAGGUUGUUUUUUUAAGUGGGUUUUUUGUCCAUAUUUCCUUUUCAGCUGGGCUGAGUGGGAGAAAGAACUCUAAGGGAGGUCUUAGCAGAUGGUUGUCACAAACUGCAUACGGCAAUUGAGAAUUAGUGUGCAAGCAUAUGCAACCUGGUAUAGUAUGAAACAUUCCAGCAUAUGAGUGCUGGAAUAAGUCAUGCUUGUGCAGGAUUUUUCUUCUUAAUUUUCUAAUUUAGCUUUCCAUUUCCUUUAAACAUUUUGAUUUCAGGCAUGCAUUAAAACAAAGGUCAACUAUCAUUCUACCAAGCUGAAGAGGAGUAUUGAAACAUGACAUUUUAAAUAUAAAAAAACAAAUGUCGUGGAGAGCAUAGCAGUUGAGAUGUACAUGUAAGCUUAUAUCUUCUGUCAACCUCAGUUUAAAAAUGUAAUCCUAGAUGCAUCUUCUUUGAAUAAGUUCCACCAAAAUAAUUUGGGUGUAUUUCCAUCACUGAAGCAAAAAUUCUACAAAAAUCCAUUGGCAGCAAUCAUACCACUCUUUGUUUCUCCCAUUCCUUUAUGGGUGUUAAACCUAUUAACAUCACCUUGGUGCUUCAAGACAUCAUAUAUAAUCAUUUUAUUUACUAAGCAAAGCUGAAAACACCAAAGGCGUCGUGUAACAGUCAGUGUCAGACUAGGACCUGGGAGAGCAGGGUUCAAAUCCCCACUUGGCCAUGAAGCUUGCUGGGUGACCUUUGGGCCAGUCACUGUUUCUCAUCGGGUUGUUGUGAGGAUAAAUCGGGAAAGGGGGAAACUAUGCAUGCCAUCUUGAGCUCCUUUACUUGAAAGAAAAGUGGGAUAUAAAUGUAAUAAUAAAUGGAUGGAUGGAUGUUGCAUGUAUGACAUAGAAAGCACCAUUUGUGUUCUUUAUGCACUCUCAUGCUGCUUAUGUACAUAUGUAUAGUUGUUAAUGAUGAUGAGAGCAAAAUGGAAAAGUUCUCUGUCUAUAAACACACAAACACACACACACACACCAAUUUAGUUUCCAUAAUUAAGAUGCAGAUGCAUGAAAUGGGAGGGGAAACACAUUUACAUGUAUUUAUGCAGAACAUUGAGUUCAGUGGGUCUUAUUCCCAGGUAUAGGAUUGCAGUCUUAGUGAAAUUUAAAUGACAUGUGAAAUUUAAAUAAUCUCUGGGGAUAAAAUACAGGUCAACAUUUUGCUUCGCAUCUGGUGCGUUGUAGUAUGUGGGUACAGUGGCGUAGCGUGGGUUGUCAGCACCCGGGGCAAGGCAAGUAAUUUGCGCCCCCUCUGCCCUAGGGGCAGAGAGCUGCGAGUGCAAGCGCGCCCCCCCAGAUGUUGCGCCCGGUGCGGCCGGCCGCCCCUGCACCCCCCACGCUACGCCACUGUGUGGGUAUGUGGGUAGUAUGAAUCUACUGCCACCAUGGCUUUCCAAAGCAGAUCCAUAUACUAAAUCCAGCAGCUGCCUUGACAGUAUCCAGGAAUGUACAUCCCCCUCCCGCUGCCAGCCCCACUCACAUCAGGAGUAAAUCCAGUUUGAAGCGGCAGUCAAUUUCAGACAAACCAUGUUACCACUCCCACUCCAAUUUUCUCAGCUUUGCUUUUGCAUAGAUGAUUGUCUGGAGAUCCUAUGUUGUUGUUGUUUUGCCUUCCCCUCUGGUAGAACUGCCAUCUUGUCAUUUUCUCUGUGGUGGCAGCCAGGAACUUCCUCCCCAUAGAGAUCCAUCUGGCCCCUACGCUAUGUGGUUUUAGGUGUCAGAUUAAGGAACAUUUAUUUUUCCAGGGUUAUGGGUAAGGCUGAUGUAAGAGAUAGAGGGCUGCUGAAUUGUCUGAAUGUCUGAUUUUUUUGUUUUGAUGUUUGUUUCAUAUUGUUGGUUUUAUGGUUCCUGUAUUACUUGGCAUAUUUUAAUAUAUUGUUAUGUACCACCCUGGGAGACUUUGGGUUGCAGGGCAAGAUAAAAAUUUAAGUAAUUAAUUAGGAUUAGGUGUAGUAGAGACACCCCCUCCCCCAAUCAAGUACACACAUUUAAUCAAUAACAGUAGAGGAAUCCCUCUCUCCCCAAAAAAUAACAAUUAAAAAUCAGGUACACAUCAAAUGGAAGACUUGCUGCUGUUUUCAGCUUGUGCUCUAUGAUCCUGCUUUGUGAUCACUGGUUUAUAUGUUGCAAAUGCUGGAUAUAAAGGAACCUUCAUGCCACCUUCAACCCCUGCUGCAGUAUGACUUUCCAAUUAUUUCCCAGCGUGCCCUCCAAAGGGUGUGCUUUGUAACAAAGGAAAGUGCCUCUGUAACAUCUCCAAGGGUUCUUGACCUUCCUGCUUUCCCUUUUCUCUGAGUCACUGGUGGUGGUGGGGGUGGUGGUGGAAGAGAAGAGGGAAGGAGAGCAAGGAGAAAGUGUAAACAUUGGCACGCAAGGCAAGGCGGAAUUACAUACUGGUCGACCAAAACACAAAUCAACUCAAAACUACAGGAGUCCACCAACAUGCACAUAAAUCAUUUAUAAUGAUAAUCCAAGACGAGGUCCAAAUCUCAUUAAAGUAUAUGAAUCCUUAAUCUAUUUUGGCAAAAGAGAGCCAAUACACAUUUUUUCUUUUUAUCAUAAAUUACAGUUCUGUGGCACUGUGCAAAUAUUACCAAGCUGUAAGACAGCUGUGCUCCAUUAAAAUGUGUAAUGGUCGCUGAUUUCUUACAGCACAUGGUCAUCAGGCUGAAUCUACAGCCAGUAAUUAGGAAGAUGAAAUGUUUAAUUGUGCCUUAAUUUUGAUAAAAUUUAUCUGUCACACAUCCCGUAGUUGAGCAUUAUGCUCACAAAUCAAUGUCAUCAGGCCUGAGCACCAGACUCUUGUUCCUGACAGAUUCAUUUGAAUAUCAAACCGUACACAGCCGACAACCAGGGGAAAGGGACAUGGAAAAAAAAUUAAAAAGAAAGAAAUCUUCCCCCUGACACAGCCCGGCUUGGGUGACAUAUGCCUCGCCACCUCUUUUAAAAGCUAGAGAGGUCAAAAGCAAAAGGCUGCUAACACUCCUGUCAAGAGUGGCAGAGAGUGUUUCCUUUGAGCCACAAACAGGGUGUGUGCGUGGCAGUUUUCGCCCCCUCCCUCUUUUGAAACUUCACACUAUUUGUUGAACCUCCAGGGUUAUUUCCCACCCACCUCACCCCAAUUUGCUGCGUUUGUUGUUCGGCUGCAAACGCAACCAAGGCAAAGCUGGGGUCCGUUGUGUGUGCCAGAAGUGAUCAUUUACUUCCCUGCUGGCAACUGCAGCAGCAAGCAUUACAGCAGUCACUCAUGUGCAGAUUAUUACCGCACAUAGAGAGCCCAAGUCACUUUAUUUAAAAUGUGGGGGGUUUACAUGGAAGCCUCGCUUCAAUAUGGCAGAGGGCAGUUUCAAGCAUGCCGGCUGCUAUUUCAAAGCUAUCUGCUUUAUUUUUAACAAUGCAGCUCGAGCCACUUAGAUUUACACGGCACAGGGGCCCCUCUGCAGCAUGAUAUACAUCUCUGACCCUGACACCGCACACUUUGGUCAUCCUGCUAAUUCCAAUAACAACCAAGAACCAAGUCAUUUUCUUCUUGUUAUAGCUACACAAAUAUCUACAUUCCCCCCACUACCUGGAGUACAGCCACUGCUUCUUUGUCAUGUAUCAGAUAUGGGACAUUUGAAAGGAAUACUUAUGCUUUGCUUUGAAUAAUGAAGAGAUAUGGGGGGCGAGCUAGGCUUGUGUCUUUUUCACAGCCUACUGCCCAUCUCCUCCCCCAUUCUUUCCCCUCUCUGCUUUAUCCUCCUUGAGAGUGUUGGGAAAUGUAGUCCGCAUCAAAUUAAGCUGCUGUUGUGCAAUUUGAGGUGAAAGCUGCAAAGAGGAAACUACUAAUUAAAGGCACAGUAGCACAGAAAUGCUUCAGUGACCUUGCUAUUCUACAAUGAUUGGUUUGUGUGGAGAAAUCAUCAUUUUGAGAUUAUUGAUGAUGUACGGUUUCUGAAAUUCAAUUUUGUUUGCUGUUUAAUGAGAAACUGCCUAAUUCAUAUUUCUCAAACAAUGUGUGAACUGAAACAUAGCUAUCAUUUGAAAUUCGCCCUUCUCUGCAUUUUGUGAUGCAGUUCUCCAACCAACCACUUCAUAUAUUUGGAAGUGUGCAAAGAAAUGCCUAUGUUACUGAAAGUAGCAUACAAAAAUGCAUUACAUUAGGGAAAACUAAUUAUAGAAAUGUGUGUAUUAGUCAAAGUUGCAUACAAAAAAUUAUUAGGAGAAAUUUGCACUAAAAUGCUAAUGAAUAUUCAUUUUUUAUAAAAAGGACUGAAUUGCUGCAAAAAAUCAGAGAACUGAAUUUAAGAUUGAAGAAAGAGAAACUGGAAGAACCAAAGUUGACAGAUCUGUCCAUUCUUGCAAACAAUAUAAAGGUUUGAAGCAUUAACUGUGUAAGAACUGCCUGUAUUUUAUGCAGAGAACUGUACUAUGUCUCAAUGUAGCUUCAAAGUGAGAGUUCCAGCUGAUUGACAGCUUUUGUUGUUUCUUUUUCUAUUCCUGGGUAUGAUUUUGCAUUAUUGUUAUAAUUUUCAUCAGUUUCAAUGUAAACUACCUUGAGCAUAUAUAUAAAUGGAAAGAUAAUAUGUAAAUAAAAUUUACACUGAGACAAGAAGAUUGCUCAAUAGCAAUAUAAUGGUGGUGAUUAGAUCUAAUUUGGAAAGAAAUUAAAGCCCAACAUAUAUUCUUCUGCAAGAGUAAUCAGUCAAUCUAGUAUCACGUUUUACCAUGAAGUUUUUAUUGUAGGAUGUUGAUUUCUAGGUCAGACACACUUAUUCAACCUUGAAACCACUGACAUCUGCCACUUCUAGCACAAUAUGCCACAAAGUUAUGUUACUCUCCACUAGUGAUGUUACAGGCUGUUAUUUAAAACAGAGGCAAAGCCUCAAAGUUGUGCUAGGAAAAAGUUUAGUAAGGUGUUGACCAUCUACUCCAAGCGCAAGCAAAUUUUCAUGCAAUCUUAUUCCACUGGCUUCUUUCAGCAAUUAGAGCUAUAUCAAGUUCUAUGUGACCCACUGCAACAAGAGAGCAGAAUGAAAUCAAAUCAGAUCUGUUAUAUUCAACAUUUUAAGAAACCUUAAUUUCCUGGCACCAGUUUGAGGGUUUUGCCUCUACUGCAGUGGGGUGGGGAGAGUUAGCAUUAAAAAUAAAAAAAUGAUGGUACACCUUCAUUCCCUCUACAUGCUCUGUUUGACCACAUUCCACAUAGUACUUGAAAUAAAUUCAGUCGGUGAGGACGGAUCACAUAUUCCCAGCAACAAAAUACUGCAGUUGAUGACUGCUUGAGAAAUGUGUUGUAGCUAUAAUAUCAGAGCUACCUUGAAGGAAGAUGGCUGGAUCCAGCUCAGCAAUUGAGUGACAACAGUGCAUUGACUGUAUGUGUAGUCUAAGGUGUUGUUUUUGACCUCUAAAGCCCUUCAUGGCACAGAGUCUCCUGAAUUGAAGCCGUUUCUUUAUGGCAUAUGGCCGUUUUUAAAAACUCCAGAAGGCAUUCAAGGUGUUGCCAAGGCAAUCUUGGAGAGGAAGCAACUUCUUUCAGCUUCCCUUUCCUCCUCAAAUGUGGCAUAAACACACCGCUUAUUAUUUACAAUAAUAAUCAUCUGCUACUUCUUCGGCCCAUCCUUCCUUCAAGGUGCUCAGAGCAGUGCUGUAGCCUCACAGCAACUUGGUGAAACUGAGAGAAUGACCUGCAGAUUUCGCCAUCUUGUAAGCUUCAUAGCUGAGCACAAACUUAAACCUAGGCUUUCCCCUUCUCUGGAUGAAUCCAUUCUCAGAUUUGUCCCAAAAUUUCGCAGCUCCAAAUUGUUGCUGAAGCAUUGAGAAUUCUCCACUGUGCUAUUUCUUUUUAAAUAUCUGAGGUUGUUGUUUUUUUUAAAUCCCUAUGUAUGUAAUUUCUCCUUCAUUAUCAGUUCGUUUGUGUCUUGUUCUACACAAGCUGAUAAAACACUCUUCAUUUUUUAAAAAAUAAUAUUUAUUUAUUAUUUUUCCAAAAACUUAAACACUAAAAAGACAAUACAAUACAACACAUCAAAUU